This is a long non-coding RNA of Lucilia cuprina (Australian sheep blowfly), 1054 nucleotides long. RefSeq lists it as uncharacterized. The transcript is spliced from 2 exons. The record is from RefSeq and is a predicted model, not a curated record. NCBI's taxonomy places the organism in Eukaryota, Metazoa, Arthropoda, Insecta, Diptera, Calliphoridae.
CGUGUAAUUUUCUAUUUGUGUAAAUAAACCAGCUGUCAUUUGACAUUUUUGAGUUCUUCCCGCUGUUGUUGUACAACUUUUCACACCCUGUUUGAAUUCAUGUCUGGAAACAUGUUUUACAAUCGUUUUUGUAGAGUAUUUUUACUUUUCAGUCUUCUUUCUAUACUUGUUCCGUGGAGUCGCAAAAAUUCCUAUAGUUGUUCGAAAUAAAUAACAAAAAGGCAAAUAAUAAAAAGAAAAAAAUAAAUAUCAGUGUGAAAAUUGGAAAAAAAAGCUAAAUAAAUCUAAAGCAUUCAGUUACAAAAAAGAAGUUUGUAGUUUUGGGUUAAAAAAAAGUGAGUGUUUAAAUCGUUUAUUUAAUAAGAUUUUGUGAAAAAAAAAUCUAACAAAAAAAAGGUGAUCAUCAUCUCUAUAAUAAGAAAAUUUUACAUAUAGAAAAAUUUACAAAGAAAAAGAAGUAAAGAAACCCCCUCAAACACCAACUGGAAUUUGAGUUUUUGUGUGAAAAAAAAUUCUUAAAGAAAACAAGUGUAUUGUGUGUUAAUUAUCAAAUUUAGAAUAAAUUUUUAGUAAAAAAAUCCCGCGGCUGUUAACAUCUUUUGGAGUAACAACAAUAAAAACAAAAACAACAACUUCAGUAUACCCAUACAAAAAGCAAGGAUUAUAAACAAAACAAAAACGAGAAUAAAAAACAUCAACAGCAAAAACAACAACAACAUUGUUAUAAAAAAGAUCUUUUUUUUCAGCCCCCAAAAUCAACAGGAGAGUUAAAUACUACUACUGCAGCAAACAACAACAAAGCUAUCAAAACUAAAAAAAACAAAAACAAUAUAAACAUCAAAAUAAAACCUUACAAAAACAAAAAAAAAAAAAGAAAAAGUCAAAUUGCAAAAACAAAAAAUAACAAUAACGACAAGAGAAGUAGUAAUUACAGCAAAUUAAAAAUUAUUUGCGUCGUUUCUUUAUUCUGGACAAUUCGUUUGGUGUUAUUGGAAAAUUUAUUAGAUUUAUUUCUUAAUUAAAUUAAAGAAAAGAACAAUUUAAAUCACAGUUU